AACGAACGCUGGCGGCAUGCCUAACACAUGCAAGUCGAACGAGACCUUCGGGUCUAGUGGCGCACGGGUGCGUAACGCGUGGGAACCUGCCCUUAGGUUCGGAAUAACUCCCCGAAAGGGGUGCUAAUACCGGAUAAUGUCUUCGGACCAAAGAUUUAUCGCCUUUGGAUGGGCCCGCGUUGGAUUAGCUAUUUGGUAGGGUAAAAGCCUACCAAGGCGACGAUCCAUAGCUGGUCUGAGAGGAUGAUCAGCCACACUGGGACUGAGACACGGCCCAGACUCCUACGGGAGGCAGCAGUGGGGAAUAUUGGACAAUGGGCGAAAGCCUGAUCCAGCAAUGCCGCGUGAGUGAUGAAGGCCUUAGGGUUGUAAAGCUCUGUUACCCGGGAUGAUAAUGACAGUACCGGGAGAAUAAGCUCCGGCUAACUCCGUG
RNAcentral lists this ribosomal RNA (433 nucleotides) under uncultured bacterium. RNAcentral describes it as "partial 16S ribosomal RNA". It matches the Rfam family "Bacterial small subunit ribosomal RNA", at positions 29 to 507 of the family's 1533-position model. The record is from RNAcentral.